RNAcentral lists this ribosomal RNA (501 nucleotides) under uncultured Acidobacteriota bacterium. RNAcentral describes it as "bacterial SSU rRNA". It matches the Rfam family "Bacterial small subunit ribosomal RNA", at positions 13 to 529 of the family's 1533-position model. The record is from RNAcentral. Lineage: Bacteria; Pseudomonadati; Acidobacteriota.
UUGAUCCUGGCUCAGAAUCAACGCUGGCGGCGUGCCUAACACAUGCAAGUCGAACGAGAAAGUGGAGCAAUCCAUGAGUACAGUGGCGAACGGGUGAGUUACACGUGACUAACCUGCCUUCGAGUGGGGGAUAACCUCGGGAAACCGGGUCUAAUACCGCAUAACAUCCUCAGGGUGCAAUUCCCAGGGGACCAAAGGGUUAAGACGCUUGAAGAGGGGGUCGCGGCUGAUUAGCUAGUUGGUGAGGUAUUGGCUCACCAAGGCGAAGAUCGGUAGCCGGCCUGAGAGGGCGCACGGCCUCACUGGAACUGAAACACGGUCCAGACUCCUACGGGAGGCAGCAGUGGGGUAUUUUGCGCAAUGGGGGAAACCCUGACGCAGCAACGCCGCGUGGAGGAUUAAGCCCCUUGGGGCGUAAACUCCUUUCGAUCGGGACGAUUAUGACGGUAUCGGAUGAAGAAGCACCGGCUAACUCUGUGCCAGCAGCCGCGGUAAUAAGUU